AACGAACGCUGGCGGCAGGCUUAACACAUGCAAGUCGAACGGGCGUAGCAAUACGUCAGUGGCAGACGGGUGAGUAACACGUGGGAACCUUCCUAGAGGUACGGAACAACUCAGGGAAACUUGAGUUAAUACCGUAUACGCCCGUGAGAGGAAAGAUUUAUCGCCUUUAGACGGGCCCGCGUCGGAUUAGGUAGUUGGUGGGGUAACGGCCUACCAAGCCUACGAUCCGUAGCUGAUCUUAGAGGAUGAUCAGCCACACUGGGACUGAGACACGGCCCAGACUCCUACGGGAGGCAGCAGUGGGGAAUCUUGGACAAUGGGCGCAAGCCUGAUCCAGCCAUGCCGCGUGAGUGAAGAAGGCCUUAGGGUUGUAAAGCUCUUUUACCAGGGACGAUAAUGACGGUACCUGGAGAAUAAGCCCCGGCAAACUUCGUGCCAGCCGCCGCCGUAA
This 451-nucleotide ribosomal RNA is filed under the name uncultured bacterium. RNAcentral describes it as "partial 16S ribosomal RNA". It matches the Rfam family "Bacterial small subunit ribosomal RNA", at positions 29 to 523 of the family's 1533-position model. The record is from RNAcentral.